RNAcentral lists this ribosomal RNA (331 nucleotides) under uncultured bacterium. RNAcentral's name for it is "bacterial SSU rRNA". It matches the Rfam family "Bacterial small subunit ribosomal RNA", at positions 568 to 898 of the family's 1533-position model. The record is from RNAcentral.
CGCGUAGGCGGUUUUUUAAGUCAGAUGUGUAAUCCCCGAGCUCAACUUGGGAACUGCAUCUGAGACUGGGAGGCUAGAGUACUGGAGAGGGUGGUGGAAUUCCUCGUGUAGAGGUGAAAUUCGUAGAGAUUGGGAAGAACACCCAUGGCGAAGGCGGCCAACUGGACCGACAUUGACGCUGAGGCGCGAAAGCGUGGGGAUCAAACAGGAUUAGAUACCCUGGUAGUCCACGCCGUAAACGAUGCAUGCUAGACGUUGGAAGUCUUAGACUUCUUGUGUCGCAGCUAACGCAUUAAGCAUGCCGCCUGGGGAGUACGGCCGCAAGGUUGAA